RNAcentral lists this long non-coding RNA (1900 nucleotides) under Oreochromis niloticus (Nile tilapia). RNAcentral describes it as "lncRNA (ENSONIG00000038963.1)". Lineage: Eukaryota; Metazoa; Chordata; Actinopteri; Cichliformes; Cichlidae. The record is from RNAcentral.
UGCUCUUAUUAUAUAUACUCUUAACUUCAUCUCUUUUUUUAAAGGCACCUAUAUACAUAGAUAGUUAAUAGGUUUAUUAUUACUGUUAGAGAAAGUUUGAAAUAACCAUAUUACAAAUUACUGACUGAAAACUGUACUUAUUGGAAACCCAGACUGUGUAUUGGUGGUAUUGUAACACAAUGAUGCAAUUAGUUUAAUACGUCAUGAAGAUUUCUGUGAAAGUGAAACAACAGAAAGUGCUCAAUGUAAACACAUAUCAGAUGUGCGCCAUCAGGGAGGUGGCUGCAGGUCUGCAUUAAAGCACUGUGUAAAGUCCCAUCUCUUCAUUUCAUUUAUCAGCUUGUAUUUGCAUCACAGGUAAGCUGAAAACUAACAUUUACAACAUCAUAGUUUAUUCUAGAACUUUUCACUAAUCAGACGGUUGCAGAUUCGACUGAGUAUUUCUAUUACCAUUGUUUGUGUAUUGCUAUCAUUGUACAUUUUUCAAUUAGAAUAUAUAUUCCCUCGAAUUUUCUAAUGUUGUUUCUUUUUUGUAAAUAUUCUAUUUGUUUUCUUACAGUGUAAAAAAUUCAUGUUAUUUACUCCUAACAGUGAUGGCAGCAGCAGUUUUGGACAGAAGCAGAGGGGUGGCUGUUUUCAGCAUCAACAAAGGCCUGUUCCUCAUGUCCACCCUGCUGUGUCUGGUUUGCCUUUCAAGUGCCCUGAUAGACAAGGACCAACUGGAAAAACUGAAAGACGACUAUCAGAAAUCACACCAGCAACUAGAAAAACUGAAGAUUGUGUUCAAACAACAAGUGACUGACUCCAAACAACAAAUGACUGUGUUCAAACAACAAGUGACUGAGAUUACAGAGAUGCUGAAGGAAACCGAGGCUUACAUUGAUAGGGAGGAAAAGCAGUUGGGAGGGAAAAUAGAAGAAAGUGAAAAAUGUCUACAAAAUCAGAAGAAAUUUAUUGAAUUCCUUGAGGAACUGCAAGCUGAAUUGUAACUUCCAUCUCAGUGAUUUCCUUUUUCUCUGAUGUUGCAUCUGUUUAGUUCCCUUAUCAUAUAGUACUUGUUUAAGUUUGGUUUAACUUUUUUAAAAGUGUCCCCCUUCUUUACAAUUUUACAUAAACUCCAGAGGAUUUUAUGUGUUAAUGAAGUUUAAGGAAUACAUUUUCAGAACUUACAGAUUUUUCUACCAUUACUUGAUUUCUGCAGUGGAAAAAAAUGUUUGUAUGACCUGACACAUAAAAAAAACAUUAACCUACUACUGUUACUGUUUGUUGUCAGAAUAUCUAUCUCAAAAUAUACGACUUUUUUUGCCGUAUCCCCAGCAGUCAGCCACAAAAGUGGAUUAACUAAAAUAUAUGUGACCUAUUUGCAAAUUAUGUAAAGAUAAACAAAAUUGUUCAGUUUUAAAAUAUAUUUAAAGAUUGCAUUUAUAAUUUAGUGCACUCUGUAGUGCUUCACUUUUUUUCUCCUCAUGUUGUCAUUAAGGCAUUUUCAUCUGUCUCAUAGCGACACUGUGCAUGUUCCAGUAAAGACAAACAGGCAAAAUAAAGUUAUUUGUAAAACAAAUGUGAAAGCCUGAGCUUCAAAGUUAAGCUAAGAUGAAAGUCUUACUGCAUCUACACACAUACAAACACAGUGCAACAACCUACCCAAAAACACACACACACAGAAGAGCUGAGCACUAUUUUACCACCAUUGGAAGACGUUGUUCCCAGUUUAAGGAAAUGCACUGCACUGGUUUGAAUCAUAUCUACCUGACAAAUUUCAGUUUGUAAAUGCAAGUUGGGAGUCUGCUUCAUGUACAAAAGUUAGUCAUUGAGUUUCAAAGAAUUCUGUGCUGGGAACAAUUCUGUUCAGAUUAAACUUGUUCCCUUAGGCAGUACUGUAAGAAAACACUGCAUACAU